Bactrocera oleae (olive fruit fly) is the source of this 1710-nucleotide non-coding RNA. The record is from RefSeq and is a predicted model, not a curated record. Lineage: Eukaryota; Metazoa; Arthropoda; Insecta; Diptera; Tephritidae.
CUAAUUAAUUCAAAAUUCCAAUUUUCAAUUUUUUUUUUUUUUUUAAAUAAUAAAUUUUUUAAAUCUACAACAAUUACAAUGCAAUUAUUUUCCAAUUGUUUCAAGCGGCAGGCAAAAGGCAUACAAAAUACAUAAAUACCAAGAAAAUCGUAAAUAGCAGAAAAUCUAAAAAUUACAUCAGAGACCAAGGGAUUUCAAGACUGUGUCAGAUUGUCUUCAACGACAGGCACACACUCAUACUUAUAUGCAACACCGUUACUUCACACUGCAACUAACAACACUUUCUGCUCGUUUUUAAUAUGAUUUCCCAUCGUCCCACUUCUAUUGUCAGCUUAGCUCAUCUCAGCCAGGCAGCUCUAAUGCCCAGCGCAAUAACUUAAAAACCGAAUGCAGUAGCCGACAAUGCAAAGUAUAAGGAAAAGGGGAUGGGAAAACAAACAAUGAGCGUAAGGCAACAAGCUGACGGCAUGACAAAGCUACACAGAUUCUUGGAUUUGGAUUCCCUUAAACUUCACACUUCUUACGUGCAUAUACAGCUGUUGAAUGACGAAUAGCUGGUGAUGGGCCCAAGCGGCGAAGUCAUUUGCGCAAUUUACAGUGGGAAACUCAGUGAAGUCAUUUCUCAUCAAGUAACAUGAGCAAAUGGAAACUUUCUCUCGAUCAAAUAAUACCUAUACACCAAAAAUCGACAUCUCUAUUUAGCAGUUGGAGCAAUGGCAUUAUGACCAAGGUUUUGUGUCAACAUGUGACAAAUUGAAGAUCCUCUUUCAAACGAAUCUGCGCUUCUUAGACUAGUUCUAAUUAGAAUGAUUGUUCCAUGGUUGUCAACGAGGGUUUUGAGAACUACGAUUUAAAUCAUGCAGACACUUAAAUUCCGGACUGAAACCCGACUUUUUGUUGAAUACGAUGGAUGAAAACUUGGAGGCAUUUGUUUCGAUCGCUAAAUUAAUUUUGUAUAUUUACCCAGCACUGAAUACGCAAAGGUUCUAUUCCAAUGGAUCCGAUUCAGUUGAUUUCUUAAUAUCUGGAUAUGUCAUAUAAAGAAGCUUUAAGUUUCCAUAUGGGAUAAUAUUAUAUAAUUUUAGGUCUGCAAGUUUACGAGACCUCUUUUAUACAACCACCAUUUAAAGUUGCCCGAAAUUGGUGCUGAAGUUUCGAAACUUUUGUUUGAGUUAUUAUCGAACCACGGCUACGGAAUCGUUUCAAAUGCAGAAUAUCAGUCAUGUCAGUCGUCCAUCCACUUCAGAUUAUGACGAUAACAUCGAAAAAGGUAAAGAAACAGAGCUUGAAAACCAAUAACCAUCAGAGAGAUAGCAGAGGAUUUCAACAUCACUUAUGGAUCGACCCCAUACAUUUUGGUGAAUGUUUUAGAUAUGAAGCGUGUCUAUGCUAGACUCGUACCAAAAUAUCAGAAUCUUUUUUCAUAACGACGACGAGUAGUGUUCUCAAAAGAGAUGCUUGACAACGUGGCUGCGAACCAUACAUUCAUCAAACGCAUCAUUACUGGUGAUGAGACGUAGGCUUAUGAAUACGACGUCGAAACUUUGCAACAAUUUAGCGACUGGAGCUCAAAAAAUGAGCCGAGACUGAUAUAACCAAAAUUCGCGAGCAAUGUAUCUUAGGAAGUGCUACCAGAAAAGUAUUUUUAAAUUUUAUUUUUAUCACUUAUUUCACUUCUUCAUGCUUUGUUAGAUAAUUUGCUAAUUUUAA